UACGUAGGGUGCAAGCGUUGUCCGGAAUUAUUGGGCGUAAAGAGCUCGUAGGCGGUCUGUCGCGUCGGCUGUGAAAACCCGGAGCUCAACUCCGGGCCUGCAGUCGAUACGGGCAGACUGGAGUUCGGCAGGGGAGACUGGAAUUCCUGGUGUAGCGGUGAAAUGCGCAGAUAUCAGGAGGAACACCGGUGGCGAAGGCGGGUCUCUGGGCAACAACUGACGCUGAGGAGCGAAAGCGUGGGGAGCGAACAGGA
Molecule: ribosomal RNA, 254 nt
Filed under: uncultured bacterium
Lineage: Bacteria
Description: partial 16S ribosomal RNA
Rfam family: Bacterial small subunit ribosomal RNA
Source: RNAcentral